GAAGGCUGGCAGUGAUUCCACCACGGAGGAAAAUAGGAGUCUUGGCUGAGUCAGGAAGCUUGUAUACUACAAGGUAGCAUCCAAGAUCAUUCUAAUGUCCAAAGGUCCUGAUGCUAUGGUGAAUGCUGAUGCUACAAUAGAUGCACAAACCCAUACAUGAGUAUUUAUUGUCAGAUGGGAAGCCUUACUGGUCCUUACUUUCUAUGGGGAACUAUUCCAAGGUGAAAUGCCAUAUAUGUGAACAGAUGGACUUCAAGGAAAAACAACAACAACCAACCAACCAAACAAACAACAAAAACACAACCUGAUUUGGGGACAUAUUCUUCAAGAUAUUUGUUUUCUGGAUGCUGUCUGCUUGCUGCUCAUCCUUUAUGUCAUAUGGAACAAAUGUUUUCCUGCAGAAUGCUCUUCAAAAUUGGUGUGUAUCUCUUCUCAAAUGAAAAUUUCUGAAAACCACAAGAUUUCUGUUUGUGAUAGGAUUCUGGGGAGUGCGAUGGAACUGGAAAAGCUGGGUUGAUGGCACUUGUUUCAGAGCCAAGGCACUGACCUACUGUGGUCGUAGUGGCUGCAUGCUCUCUUACUCUGUGGUUAAUGCAUGACAAUUCAAUGCGGCUUAUCUCUCAAGAAGAGCAUCUUCCUUGAGUGCUUCAUUUUAAAAGUGCAGCAAAAAGAGGUAGUGCAAGAAGUGGGUACUCCUGUGUGAGGUGCAUUUUUUUUUUUUUUAGUGUCAGAAGUCUUAACAAAUUUCUGGCAAGUAUUCAAUGGAAAGGUUUGCCAAGAUCACCAGUAUUUUUAUGUGUUUAAUGACACCUUUCAAGGGUAUAUCUAGAAAUUAACCCACAUGUUGACAGUCAUGACCUAAAUGUUUAAUAUGGGCAUCAAUAUCUGAAAGUCUCAUGCAAAAUUCAGCAAAGAAGAUAUCUAUGUUUAAGGGAAUAAAAGAAAUUACAUGAUUAGCA
RNAcentral lists this long non-coding RNA (959 nucleotides) under Anser brachyrhynchus (Pink-footed goose). RNAcentral describes it as "lncRNA (ENSABRG00000001900.1)". The record is from RNAcentral. Lineage: Eukaryota; Metazoa; Chordata; Aves; Anseriformes; Anatidae.